RNAcentral lists this ribosomal RNA (253 nucleotides) under uncultured bacterium. Its description in RNAcentral is "partial 16S ribosomal RNA". It matches the Rfam family "Bacterial small subunit ribosomal RNA", at positions 524 to 776 of the family's 1533-position model. The record is from RNAcentral.
UACGUAGGGCGCAAGCGUUGUCCGGAUUUAUUGGGCGUAAAGAGCUCGUAGGCGGUUUGUCGCGUCGGCUGUGAAAUCCCGAGGCUCAACUGCGGGUCUGCAGCCGAUACGGGCAGGCUAGAGUUCGGUAGGGGAGACUGGAAUUCCUGGUGUAGCGGUGAAAUGCGCAGAUAUCAGGAGGAACACCGGUGGCGAAGGCGGCUCUCUGGGCCGAUACUGACGCUGAGGAGCGAAAGCGUGGGGAGCAAACAGG